This 465-nucleotide ribosomal RNA is filed under the name uncultured bacterium. RNAcentral's name for it is "partial 16S ribosomal RNA". It matches the Rfam family "Bacterial small subunit ribosomal RNA", at positions 28 to 507 of the family's 1533-position model. The record is from RNAcentral.
GACGAACGCUGGCGGCGUGCUUAACACAUGCAAGUCGAACGGUAAGGCCCUUUCGGGGUGACCUGAGUGGGGAACGGGUGCGUAAGACGUAAGCAACCAGCCCUUGCUUCUGUUUUAACAGUUGUAAACAGCUGCUAAUUAUGGAUAUACAUCAUCUCCUUCCUGGGGGGUGGUGGAAAACUCCGGCGGCCGGGGAUGGUCUCGCGGCCUAUCAGCUUGUUGGUGGGGGAAUGGGUGACCAAGGCUUCGACGGGUAGCCGGCCUGAGAGGGGGACCGGCCACACUGGGACUGAGAUACGGCCCAGACUCCUACGGGAGGCAGCAGUGGGGAAUAUUGCACAAUGGGCGCAAGCCUGAUGCAGCAACGCCGCGUGCGGGAUGACGGCCUUCGGGUUGUAAACCGCUUUCGGUUGGGACGAAGCGUGACUGACGGUACCUACAGAAGAAGGACCGGCUAACUACGUG